CAGCCCUAGAAUUUGUCUGAAUGCCAGAAGUAACCUCUGGGUUGAUGGGAGUUGGUUUUGGUGGACUCUAGAAAAAGUCUCCUUUGGGAGAAGAGACCUGCUACCGAUGAACACCAGUCAAGAUGCCGUGUUCUACUAGCAAAGAAAAAUGGACACAACAAAGGAAUGUAUAUGAAUUUAAUUAUAGCCACACAUUGAAAGAAGGAAAGAGUAGGUAAAUUCAUGGGGCAUUGUGGUUUCUUAAUUGUUUAUAACCGGGACUCAAUUUUCUCACCGGUUGUGCCAGUUUUGUCAACUUGGCAAAAACUAAAGUCAUCAGAGAGGAGGUGUCUUCAAUUAAGAAAAUGACUCCAUAAAAUUGGCCUACAGGUUCAAUUGCAGCAUGAACAGAGAAGUAGUUUUUGCCCUGUCUACAGCCACUCUUCCAGAACUAUCAUCCAACUUUGUAAGUAGCCUGAGAACCCAAGACCACCUAGCCCAGGAUGGCAUCACCUACAAAAGGAUGGGCCCUCCUCCAUCAAACUCUAAUUAAGAAAAUGCCCAAUAGUAGUGGAUCUCAAUCUAUGAGUGGCAACUCCUUUGGGGGUCACAUAGAAGAUAUCCUGCAUAUCAGAAUGGUAAUUUGUAAUCUACAUUGCAAUUGAAUUGUAAUUUGCAUGACAAUUCAGAACAAUAGCAAAGUUACAAGUAGUAAGGAGCAACAGAAAAAUGUUAGGGUUGAAGUCACCACAUGUGAAACUGUACUAAGGACCACAGAUUUAGGAACAUUGAGAACCACUGCCCUUCAGGGUUACCUGCAACCCAGUCUUAUGGGGGCAUUUUGUCAGUUGAGAUCCCCUUCUCUCUGAUGAUUCUAGCUUGUGUCAAGUUGAUAUAAUAUUAGCUGAUACAACUCUAUUGUAUAGAAAAGGAACACAUAGAAUAGAUAUCCUUAAGGCUAGUGGGUAAGAGUCUCUGUAGGAAAGAAUCUUCCAGGCUCAUCACUUCCCAAUGUAAGCCAGCAUUGACUUCAGAGCUUGCCUGACCUGAAGGUAACAGUUCAUUCAGACUUAUGUGUUGACAGAAAAUGUCUUGUGUCCAGUAGACUUUGCCCAUAGGUAACCCUCAGAACCUGGGAAGGAGUAGAAAAAAUAUUGAGUCAUUGCAUAAAUGCAUGACCCUCUGAGGCAGGGUUGCCACUUUUCCUAUUUUCAAGUCUCAAAGUGUUGGGGGGGGGGUCCUAACUGAACCAAGUCAAGCACCGUAUUUGUAAGAUGCUCUACAGUCAUAGUCCAAUGCUCCCCCAGGUGCUACUCUCUACAUUGCCUCAUGUACAGCAUCCCAUCAAUUGCUAACAAGUUUAUGAAUAGUAUUUUAAUUACUUUUCUGUUGCUGUGAUAAAACACACUGGCCAAGGCAACUUAAGGAAGCAUUUAUUUUAGUUUACAGUAUCCAAGGGGCUAAGACCCCCAUCACAUUAAGAGGGCACAGUAAGUGGCAGGCAAGAGCAGGAGUUUGAGAGCUCCCAUCUUGUAGAAGUGUGAAGCAGAGCAAGGGAACUGAGAUGGUGUGAGGUUAUAGUUUCAAAGCCCAUCCACAGUGACAGUCCUUCAAUAAGGAUGCCCCACCUUUCCAAACAGUGCCACCAACUGGGAAACAAGGAUUCAAAUAAGUAAGUCUAUGUGGAAAAUUUUCAUUCAAACUCCUACAAUUAAUGUCACCCUUUUAAGAUUGAAGCGAAAGCAACCAAAUUAAGCCUAUAGGACCAUGGUGUUGCUAUUUGGUGAUAACAGCAGGUCUACCUGAACUAGAUUAUUAUGGGUACUCCUGGGUGUGUUCCCGUGAUACAUCCCACAGGACAUGACACACUUGUAGGCAUCUGAUGUGAUGUUCAUGCUAAGUAUAUUCUAUGUGAAUAUUUGAUCUGGGUGUAGAAAGAUGGGGAGCUACUCUCUAUCUCUUUAAUGGAGAGGGGUCUGGAUGGUACAUGCAUAUGUAUCUGGGAAGGUAACUUGUACUAGCUGAAGAGUAGAAUUACUUUUGUAGCCUUUUAAUGUGCUUUUUCAUUGCUUACCUGGCAUGGCAUUAAUCAUGGCAGGUUUUAAAUGACUUUAAAUCCAAUUUUCCGUUCUCUUGAAUGCCAGCCACAUAGCCUUGUUUACAGGGAACACUAAACAAAGCAGAGGAAGAAAAAAAAGGUUCAAUCAAUUUUCCUUAUCGCUAAUUGGGGAUUUAUUACUGGCUCAUUUGCUUUCAAUAGCAGGAGGGGGUACACCCUUUAGAGUCUGGAUCCUGGGAAGCUUGUGAUUAUUGCAACUCUAUAACCACCCUGUAAGGGAGCAGAGUGAGGAAGACAAAAUGAUAUCAUUCUGUAUUUAUCAGAGGGAUGGGACAAACUGUGUGGAUCAUGCCAGAAGCUUAGGCAGAAGGGAAGGGGCUACUCCCCAGUGCUUUGCAGAAGAAAUGACCCAAAGACUUGUGUUCAUUGUGUAUAUAUUGAUGAACUUCUGGUGGGUCCCUACUGGGAGUGAGCCCUCUGCUAGGCAUGUGGGAGUGGAUUGUGCUAGAGAUACACCUUAGUAACAGAGGGGGGCAGUGGGGCCUUAUGGCAUUGGACAUUGUGAGCUGCAGAAGGAGGUAUGGGAAAGGGCAAAAAAAGUUAUUCUUCCUGCCAGAAAAAAAGACCAGUUUCUGUUUUUUUGAAGGGUGAAUAGAAAUACAGAGCUAUAAAGAGACCAGAAUAAUCAAGAAUCAGUCCAGAAGCCUGCCAUUUCACCUAGCAAAGAAUGAACAAUUACUGAGUAGAGGGGUACCUGCGUGACUGUUAGAGCUGUUAGCAUAGCAACCCUCCUAGAGGGCCUAAAGGCUCCAUGGAGGACUUCACCAGGCUUCAUUCACCAGGAUGAGGAUUGGGUACAUGGAACACAGCCCAGAGUUUGUAGCUGGCAGAUAAAGAUUCUACAGAAGCUUUUUAAGAUGUGGUCAGACAAAUUAGGAGGUGUGAUAGUUUGAAUGUCUCACAUAAGUUCACAUAUUUGAAUGUUGGGUUCUUGGUUAGUGGAACUGUUUGGGAAGGACUUGGUGUGCUCUUGUUGGUGUGGAGUGUCACUGGGGGUGGGCUUUGAGGUUUCAAAACCUCCUGCCAGGUCUACUCUUUCUCUCUGUCUCUGUCUCUAUCUCUUUGGAGAAAAGAGUAUUAUCUAGAGUUGUUUCACAAAAAGAUAGUCAGAGUCAAGAAGGCAGAAGAUAGAAAUAGGCUUGCAAGGCAGGAGACAGACAACAUGACUAUCUCCAUUCUGAUUAUGGGUUCAGACUCUGAAGGUCACUAAGCAAGUAUCGGGGGCCAGAUAUCAUUUAUCUACUGCUACUCAGAUUGCAGUUAGCCCUGUCCUCAUUUACCAAUGACUAGGAUUAAAGGUUCAGUCCUCCACGGAGAGGACCAAAAGGAGGAAAGAUUAGAAAGCAUUCACAGAUGCAAGCCAUUGACUUCUUUAAUCAAGUAAAAGGAAAAGAGCCUACUUGGAGGCAGAUUUGUAGUUUCUCUAGUUGCAAUAUAGAUGGUGGUUUUUGAUUAGGUGAAUGUGUUUCCCUUGACUCUUUGCAAAUAGUCUGGAGGAAUUUAGGUGCUGGACUCAUCUAGGCUAAUGUUCUUCCAGGGUUUUUUCUACCACCAUCCUUCAUGGGUUAUAUAUACAUGGCAUAAACGACCUUAGAGAGUCUCUCAGAACUGUGGAACAAUGUACAGAAGAGAGAUGUCUACAUUCAGCUCAUACCCAACUCCUCACAGAGCUCUUGGCUUUGGGGAGCACCUGCUGGCUCUACCAUGUCAGCUUCUCUCCUGUUGUGCCCUGAGCUCAACCCUCCAAGAUCUGAGACAUCCUCAUAUACUUGCCUCAUUUCUACUGUUGUCCAAUACCCUGCCCUAUUUUCCAACACCCCUCUCCCAUAUCUUUCAGCCUCAGUGGCUACUGUUUUCCCUGUUCCAGGCAACAAAUUCAAAAUUAACUGGCAAUAGAGGAGAAAAUUUCCAUUGUACCUCUGAUGAUUUAUCUGACCAAAAGCGUCAGUCCAUUGACCAAUCAUGAAUUCAAUUAUUUUCACCAGAAUUUUCUGCUCAGGAGACUUUAUCACUUUCUUCAUGAGUAAACUAGAAACUUCCUAGAGCUAAAAUUAAUCUCAGAGAUGGAAUCAUCUAGUUUAGGAAAGGCCAAAGUAUGUCACUCCUGGCACCCCUUGCCAGCUGCACACUGGCAGACAUUACCAAUAGAACACAGAAUUCCUUCUAAAAACACCACUACAGGAAGCCAUUAGUAAUCAAUCUCAGACAACUUGUCAGCUAAAGCAGGUAGAGUGUCUGGCAGGAAGCAAACCUACUAACAUGGAAUUUUGAGAGACGGAAUGAAGGCACUCUUCAUAAAGGGAGGAAGAGAGCCAGCAGCAACAGGUAUGAUGGGAAUGAGGAAGAAAAUGAAAGAAUCAAAGUGAAAAGAUGAGUUCAAAGCUGGAGCCAGGAGUAGGAAUUACGGUAAUGCUGUGAACACAGGCAUCAAUGGAGAGCUAGCCCAAGGCAGCAACAAAGAAACCAAUCCCCACUCUCCUUCUCUCCUCUGCCCUCUAUCUUCAAACAAAUCAUUGAUGAAGCUUCCAGAAGCCAGUAGGCAGAGGCUUAUGUGCUUCAGCUUUUGUGUGGCAGAUUGACACAGAUUGGUUGUCAAUGGAUGCCGGCAAUGGUAUGUUUAAAAAGAUAGUUUAGUGAGGUCUGCCAGUGUACAACAACAAAGAGGAGGUGUGAGUGCCAGGUAGUGAUGUUUCCUGAACUAGCUGAUCCCAUCACUGAGGUUUCUUUAAAUUCUGGAACGCCUCUAAGUUUCCCUGCAGUACAGGACAUGAAGGAGAAGGUUGAGCAUGAGGAGACUCAUGCAUUUCCAUCAGGGGAAGUCUGCUUGAAGGCAGGUUCCCUAAAAGAAUCCCUGAAGCAAUGGAGCUUUAAAUGGAAUUAUGUAGCUUUUCCAUGACAUAAAGAUCAGGAGGCACCUUAAAGGCUUCAAUGAAGACAAAUUAAAAGAGGGGAGAUACUGAACCUGGUCCCAGGUACAGGCGGUGUCUACAGAGCCAUUCUUCCUGUUUUCUUUAAAAUGUUUUAUUUACUUUAGUUUUGUAUGUUUGAGUGUGAUUUGCUAGGACUACUUGUGUGUGUGUGUGUGUGUGUGUGUGUGUGUGUGUGUGUGUGUGUGUGUGUUUCGUGCCCAUGGAAGCAAGAAGAAGGCAUUCAAUAUCCUGGAAUCGGAGCUAUAGAUGAUUGAUAGCUGCCAUGUGGGUACGAGCAAGAGAACCCAUAUCCUCUACAAGAACAGCAAGUGCUCUUGACAGCCCAGCCAUCUUCCAGCCUUCUUUCUGUUCUCUUUAGACAAGAGCUUGACACUACUCUAUAGGCUGAGCCUUGUGGCGGGGCUUAGCCUCCCUACAAGAACAAAUGUCAGAAGGGACACUGGGAAACUUCAGCUGGUAGAGUACAGGUGGACAACCCAGUGAGGGGGUCUGAGUUGAGCAUCAAUACUCUUCAUCUGGAUGUGAGCAUGAUGUUCACUGCUUUUAGUUGGAAGAUUUAAAAACUUUUAAGUUUUCUUUGAUUCCAAAUUAUAGCAGUAAAAUGUCCUCUGUGUUUAUGAGGGACGUGUUAACUACAACUGAGAGCUCAAGAAAAGUUUAAGCUGGAACCUUCUAUUCCCUCAUCACUCCCUUGCCAAAGUUCUUCUAUGACAGACACCCCAAACUUCAGGGUCUUGGAGACGUUGUGCUCAGAAAGUCAGGAGCAGGGAAAACUGGAAGGGGGAGCAAUACAUAGCUAGGGGACAUUUUUGACACAUAGCAAAUUCCAAGUGUGUUCCUGGACCUCAGUCUCUAAGAGUCACAGAGCUAAGAGAAACAAAGCUUGGGUGGCAGUAUAGGAUCUCAAUCUGUGGGCCAAGCUGAGCCAUACUUUUGCAACAUGAUGGUAUGCUAUGAUUGCCCACCCCUUGCCUAGGGGCAAGUAGCCCUGUGCCCCAACAUUUGCCCCACCCCUGACACACACACCAGAAGGGGUCAUGCAUCCUGGUAGCCAGGUUAAAUUUGCUCUCCUCUUAUAAAGUCAUGUCCAGCAGCACCUGGAAUUCCUCCUUAUGCAAAUGAGGCAUCUUCAGUCUCCUAGCCCUGGCCAAUGACAUACACUCACCUCUAAAUCCCCUCCCCACCCCCAAAGGUUUAAGUUGCCUGUGCCCCCCCCCAUUAAAUGAGCUAUCUCACUGAAGCCAUCUCCAGAAAAGGAAUGAAAAAUGUUUCACAUAAAUACUUAACAGAGUUUUAAGAGGGACUAAUUAAAUGAUUGUUACAUUGUUCUCUUAAAGGAAGAUUAAACAGGCCAACUAACCCAGAAACAGUGCUACAAACAUCAUUGUUAUCAAGUAACAUCAAAAGUUAUGUAAACCACUCAUGAUGGAUAUUCAUUUUAUAAGAUUCUUUCAACCUCUAUUUUUGUUACUUUCAGCAAAUGGUUAUUAGAACACAUACAUGUUACUCUGAGGAUAUACAUACAUAUACACAUAUAUAUGUGUGUGUAUACAUAUACAUAUAUAUAUAUAUAUAUAUAUAUAUAUAUAUAUAUUUAUGCUCACACCCAGAGGAGUGAUGUUGAUGCUCAACUCCCUUGCUGAGUUGCACACCUAUACUCUACCAGCUGAAGUUUCCCAGUGUCCCCUCUGAUGUUUGUUCUUGUAGGAAGGCUAAGCCCCUCCACAGGGCUGAACCUACAGGGUAAUGUCAGAUUCUUGUCUAAAGAAAACAGAAAGAAGGCUGGAAGAUGGCUCAGCUGUCAAAAGCACUUGCUGUUCUUGUAGAGUAUCUGGGCUUUGUUCCUCAUACCCAUAUGGAAGCUCACAAUCAUUCAUAUAUAUAUUCAUAUAUAUAAUAUAUAAUAUAUUAUAUAAUAUACAUAAUAUAUAAUAAAGAUAUAUAUUUAUCUUUAUAAA
Molecule: non-coding RNA, 6986 nt
Organism: Rattus norvegicus (Norway rat)
Lineage: Eukaryota; Metazoa; Chordata; Mammalia; Rodentia; Muridae
Source: RefSeq, a predicted model, not a curated record